This 87-nucleotide transfer RNA is filed under the name Alcanivorax sp. RNAcentral describes it as "tRNA-Leu". It matches the Rfam family "tRNA". Rfam says of the family: Transfer RNA (tRNA) molecules are approximately 80 nucleotides in length. Their secondary structure includes four short double-helical elements and three loops (D, anti-codon, and T loops). The record is from RNAcentral. RNAcentral also lists the same sequence under 3 other names. Lineage: Bacteria; Pseudomonadati; Pseudomonadota; Gammaproteobacteria; Oceanospirillales; Alcanivoracaceae.
GCCGGAGUGGUGGAAUUGGUAGACACGCCGGAUUCAAAAUCCGGUGCUAGCAAUAGCGUGUCGGUUCAAGUCCGACCUUCGGUACCA